This is a long non-coding RNA of Macrobrachium nipponense, 1138 nucleotides long. RefSeq lists it as uncharacterized. The record is from RefSeq and is a predicted model, not a curated record. The transcript is spliced from 4 exons. NCBI's taxonomy places the organism in Eukaryota, Metazoa, Arthropoda, Malacostraca, Decapoda, Palaemonidae.
UUACUGACAACUAAAGGGAAAUGGAUGUCUGUUAGGAGUAAGCACCUGAUAGACUUACUGAAUAACGAUAUUUUAAAUUCAUUUGUACGUAAUAAUAUCAACUUUCUAACUUUAACAGUCAUUGCUUAGAGUUACGAAUAACUUUAGUGUACUUCGUUCUCUUUAGUGAGCACCUGUUCUUUCAAAUCGGAAAAAAGUAAUUUAGUGAGUGAUAAGAACCGUUUACCUGGCAAAAGAAAAAAAAAAUUCCCCUGUCUACGCCAACAGGAAAGUCACCAAUAGAAGGCCUACAGUACGUUUUGCGGCUAGAUUAGUUUGAGGAAGCAUUGUAGGAUGAAACCAAGUGUCACUUGUUAGUAGUGUGCCAAUGCUAUAGCCUAUGUUGAUUGUCUAAAAUGGCUGCGCUAAUGUCUGGACAGAACAGCAGCAACAGCGCUACGCCAUCAGCUAUUCCACUUACAAAAACUGGAUUGCACAAGUGCCUCUGGUCUUUUGUUAGUUCCAACUCUGGUGUUAGUGCGUAACGGUGAUGGGAAUUCAAUCCACCUAACUUGUUCAUCUGUCUGGACAAUGGAACCAUGACGAAGAGCGAAUUUACCCACUUCACCAUUAAAGAGGAUAGUAGGAUAUUUGAUGUUGACCGGUGUGACAUGAUUACGAAAACGAGACCAAUAUUCUCGUCGGAGGUUUGCGUGUUGGACUGGAAGAAGGAAUGGCAGUAUUCCAUCCAUCCUGGGUCCGGAAGCGUCUGCUGUUGUGAUGGUCCAGGGCUUUUUAAAUUGCUGUCAUGGAUUUGCCUUUAGUUUCUCAGAAUUGUCUUGGACGAGCUGAAUAACGAACUAAGCUUUUAAAAUAAUGAUUAUGGAAUCUGCAACAUAGUUACUGGGAAGACAAGGGAAUUUUGUGCAUUUCAGAAGAAGGGAAAGGUAAUUUCUCUCUAUUGGAAUAUCAUAUUCGAAGUUUACUUGAUAAUAUUUUCUAUCAGAAAAUAUAAAUGGAUGGUCUUAGAUCAAUUGUUCCUUUGAUUUUAUUUUGAAAAGGGUUAGGUUAUGUUAGACAUAUUUUCUUUGAGUUCUAAUGUAAAUAGUUUUUUAAAUUAUUCUUGGCGAUAUUCGAACUAUAUAUAAAUAAAUGUAAG